This is a long non-coding RNA of Chinchilla lanigera (long-tailed chinchilla), 1279 nucleotides long. RefSeq lists it as uncharacterized. The record is from RefSeq and is a predicted model, not a curated record. The transcript is spliced from 3 exons. Lineage: Eukaryota; Metazoa; Chordata; Mammalia; Rodentia; Chinchillidae.
CCUUGUUCAGGUUCUCUAGCUUAGCUAUAAAGUUGUUAAAUAGUACAAAGAUAAAUAACAAUGUAACAAACAGUAUCGUAAUAAUACAAAACGUUGUAUGUUUAUAUUAGACGUGGCAUAAUGCUGUGCGGUGUUAAAAGUAUACUCUCAAUCCUUGCAACAUUUUAACAAAAUAAGGGAACUGAAGCCUGCAAAUGUCCAAUAAUUAGUAAGCGGCAAAUCCGAUGCUGAAUCAUAGAGCAUUCCUACUGUGAGCAGAACUGUUGUUAAAGAGAAGUAAUGACAAUUUCCUAUCUCGAUGGAAAUAUUAGGAACCUUUAGUUCCUUUUUCUUGUUUCAACGUUAAACAAUUUUUUGUGAGUUUUAAUUUGAUAUUGUGGUCAACAUUUCCCUGAAAGAAGGAUUACCAUAAAGAAUUAUUCAGCCAGAUGAAUCUGCCAAUGUAAACUUAGAUGGCAUUCAUUGCAUACUAUAAAUAGCUGGGCAAAUUGGCUCACACCUGUGACCUCAAUACUCAGGAGGCUGAGGCAGGAGAGCCUGAACACAACGUGAGACCCUAUCUCAACGCAAAAGACAAAGCCACGUUUUUAUCAAGCAUAGGUACCAUAUAAUCAAGUGAAUGGACCCAGAAAAUGCAAGAUUGGAACCUGAACAUUGCAGAUUUCCAUUAUGCCUCUCUUUGAUUUCCCAUUGUUGUGUCUGGUGGGCCUGGGGUCACCAGCCCACCCUUAAAACUUUUCCCAGCUUGUCUCUCACUAAUAUAGAAGGGGGAAGAUGAGUCAGACCAGUACAAAGGAAAGUAAACCACCCACCCAGUGUGAGAGAACUCACUGCAUUCAAAGCAGAAUCAACCUUCAAUAUUGAAGAUUUCAGAUUUGGAGAAUCAAAUACAUAUCUUACUGUGGAUGAAUAGCCUGAGUGACAGCUGCUUUGAAGGCAGCCCCUUGCACAUACGGGGAGCUCAUAUCUGCACAAAUCCAAAGACAUGUUAUUUGCCUUGCAUCAUUGGGAGCUUGAACUUCAGUAACAGGGUAUAUAUGUCUAAAGAUGGAAUUUGAGAGGAAACCUCUCUGGUGGGACAAGGUCCUUUUGUGCCCCACCACUCCUUUUCUUUUAAAUUGAAUGAGGCUAGAGGGCUUAAGCUCUAUAGGCAAUACCCUUGCUCUGCCCUCCCCUGCUCAUGCUCGGGGUUUGAUGUUAAAAUAAUGUUCUGAGCCAAAUACUUUAUGGUUCUAAAACCUUUUCUUAUGAAUACCCCCCAAAUAAAAGUAAAUACAGG